Molecule: ribosomal RNA, 253 nt
Filed under: uncultured bacterium
Lineage: Bacteria
Description: partial 16S ribosomal RNA
Rfam family: Bacterial small subunit ribosomal RNA
Source: RNAcentral
UACGUAGGGGGCAAGCGUUGUCCGGAAUUAUUGGGCGUAAAGAGCGUGUAGGCGGUCCGGUAAGUCAGCUGUGAAAGUCAAGGGCUCAACCCUUGAAAGCCGGUUGAUACUGUCGGGCUAGAGUCCGGAAGAGGAGAAUGGAAUUCCUGGUGUAGCGGUGAAAUGCGCAGAUAUCAGGAAGAACACCCGUGGCGAAGGCGGUUCUCUGGGACGGUACUGACGCUGAGACGCGAAAGCGUGGGGAGCGAACAGG